This 89-nucleotide transfer RNA is filed under the name Cedecea neteri. RNAcentral's name for it is "tRNA-Val(aac)". The record is from RNAcentral. Lineage: Bacteria; Pseudomonadati; Pseudomonadota; Gammaproteobacteria; Enterobacterales; Enterobacteriaceae.
GCAGCCGCUGGCAAAAGCCGUCGCGCGGCGGGUUAACGCUCCGUUGGCCUCCUCCUGCGGGCGACUGUUUGACGCAGUUGCCGCCGCGC